RNAcentral lists this ribosomal RNA (253 nucleotides) under uncultured bacterium. RNAcentral's name for it is "partial 16S ribosomal RNA". It matches the Rfam family "Bacterial small subunit ribosomal RNA", at positions 524 to 776 of the family's 1533-position model. The record is from RNAcentral.
UACGUAGGGUGCAAGCGUUGUCCGGAAUUAUUGGGCGUAAAGAGCUCGUAGGCGGUCUGUCGCAUCUGCUGUGAAAACUCGGGGCUUAACCCCGGGCCUGCAGUGGGUACGGGCAGACUAGAGUGCGGUAGGGGAGACUGGAAUUCCUGGUGUAGCGGUGAAAUGCGCAGAUAUCAGGAGGAACACCGGUGGCGAAGGCGGGUCUCUGGGCCGUAACUGACGCUGAGGAGCGAAAGCAUGGGUAGCGAACAGG